GAUGAACGCUAGCGGCAGGCUUAACACAUGCAAGUCGAACGGUAACAUUAAUAGCUUGCUAUUAGAUGACGAGUGGCGCACGGGUGCGGAACGCGUAUGGAACCUACCUUUAUCAGGGGGAUAGCCCAGAGAAAUUUGGAUUAAUACCCCAUAGUAUUAGUGAAUUGCAUGAUUUACUAAUUAAAGAUUUAUCGGAUAGAGAUGGCCAUGCGUAUCAUUAGUUAGUUGGUAAGGUAACGGCUUACCAAGGCAGCGAUGAUUAGGGGCCCUGAGAGGGGGAUCCCCCACACUGGUACUGAGACACGGACCAGACUCCUACGGGAGGCAGCAGUGAGGAAUAUUGGACAAUGGCCGCAAGGUUGAUCCAGCCAUGCCGCGUGCAGGAUGACUGCCCUAUGGGUUGUAAACUGCUUUUAUACAGGAAGAAAUGUACUUACGUGUAAGUAUUUGACGGUACUGUAAGAAUAAGGACCGGCUAACUCCG
This 484-nucleotide ribosomal RNA is filed under the name uncultured Flavobacteriaceae bacterium. Its description in RNAcentral is "bacterial SSU rRNA". It matches the Rfam family "Bacterial small subunit ribosomal RNA", at positions 28 to 505 of the family's 1533-position model. The record is from RNAcentral. Lineage: Bacteria; Pseudomonadati; Bacteroidota; Flavobacteriia; Flavobacteriales; Flavobacteriaceae.